UCGGGAAUUUUGGGCAAUGGGCGAAAGCCUGACCCAGCAACGCCGCGUGAAGGAUGAAGUAUUUCGGUAUGUAAACUUCGAAAGAAUAGGAAGAAUAAAUGACGGUACUAUUUAUAAGGUCCGGCUAACUACGUGCCAGCAGCCGCGGUAAUACGUAGGGACCAAGCGUUGUUCGGAUUUACUGGGCGUAAAGGGCGCGUAGGCGGCAAUUCAAGUCAUCUGUGAAAUCUCCGGGCUUAACUCGGAACGGUCAGAUGAUACUGCUUUGCUAGAGUGCAGAAGGGGCAAUCGGAAUUCUUGGUGUAGCGGUGAAAUGCGUAGAUAUCAAGAGGAACACCUGAGGUGAAGACGGGUUGCUGGGCUGACACUGACGCUGAGGCGCGAAAGCCAGGUGAGCAAACGGGAUUAGAUACCCAGGUAGUCCCUGAGCGGGCUGGCAAGGCGCAU
This 447-nucleotide ribosomal RNA is filed under the name uncultured bacterium. RNAcentral describes it as "bacterial SSU rRNA". It matches the Rfam family "Bacterial small subunit ribosomal RNA", at positions 355 to 825 of the family's 1533-position model. The record is from RNAcentral.